CACACCGCCCGUCACACCAUGGGAGUGGGUUGCACCAGAAGAAGGUAGGCUAACCGCAAGGAGGCCGCUUUCCACGGUGUGAUUCAUGACUGGGGGUG
This 98-nucleotide ribosomal RNA is filed under the name uncultured bacterium. RNAcentral's name for it is "partial 16S ribosomal RNA". It matches the Rfam family "Bacterial small subunit ribosomal RNA", at positions 1386 to 1482 of the family's 1533-position model. The record is from RNAcentral.